Molecule: small nuclear RNA, 189 nt
Organism: Echinops telfairi (small Madagascar hedgehog)
Lineage: Eukaryota; Metazoa; Chordata; Mammalia; Afrosoricida; Tenrecidae
Gene: U2
Rfam family: U2 spliceosomal RNA
About the family: U2 is a small nuclear RNA (snRNA) component of the spliceosome (involved in pre-mRNA splicing).
Source: Ensembl
AUCGCUUCUCAGACUUUUGGCUAAGAUCAAGUGUAGUAACUUCUUAUCAGUUUAAUAUCUGAUACAUCCUCUAUGGGAGGACAACAUAUUAAAUGGAUUUUUGGAGCAGGGAGAUAGAAUAGGAGCUUGCUCCGUCCAUUCCACGCAUUGACCUGGUAUUGCAGUACUUUCAGGAACGGUGCACCCCCU